CCGAGUUCAAGUUCAAACCAACUCAAACCAGAGCAACCCAAGCCUCCAAAUCCUUGCUAAACCUUCCUCUCAGCCUCCUAAAGCCUUCCCUAACCUCUUCUCCGCCCAACAACCACUUGAGAUAGCCCAACCGAGCUCAAGAAAUUCCGAAACUUUGAGCUCUCGGUUCUCCCUCAAAUCUCCAUCAAUUUUGUCAAACCAAGAGUCUAUUUUGCUUAGAAUUUCACCAGGAAGCUAUUCGUGCAAGAAUUUUGAAGUUUGGAGGUCUAGAUUUCAUUCUGCCAUUGUUGUUGAGCUCCUCACCGGAAAAGCUUCACGGUGCUCAUCGUUCUGGCCAAACCAGAGACCUUUUCAGCUACCCACCUAUACCAUUGAGUUCCUGGGAGUGAGAGGAAGCUUUUCCAAUCGGUUUCCACCCUUAACUCCACCCUUCCGCCGGAGCGCCGCCGCCAGCCACCGUCUUCUCCGGCGAGCUCACCGGAAAACUGCUCAGAACUUGGAUUUUCUUGCAUAGUUCGAAUCCUUGUCUUCCAUAGGUUCCAUAUACAUAUUUGGUUCGGAAAAAUUAACUUGGUUUGAUAGGGUUUCAAGAGGAAAGAAGAUAAUUAUUAAUUGGAGGAUUUUUCCGAAGAAAGGGACGGAGAUCGAGGAGAAAGAACUAGAAUGAAAAAGUGACCAAGGCAGGAAGAGCUGUAAAUAGUUGUGAAUAUACGAGAGUGUUCGAGUAGAAUAAAGACCAGCCGAUGGAAGAAGACGUGUGCGACUGGACUCGUACUCUAUCAGACUGUAAAAUAAGUAUGAAAGCAGUGGGUUUUUUGUAAUUAAGUUUGUCAAAGUAAUCGGGAAAGAUUCAGAGGAGUCCAUGCGAGACUCUGGGAUGUCUUGUCUAAGGAAAGGAAUCGCUUUUAAUGACGCUUAGCGCGGCUAACUUUCCUGGAGACAUUCUCAAACUAUCAAUUGGACAACGAUGAAUUCUGACCCAAAGGUCUUGUACUUUUUUUCAAAGUUCAUAAAUAAAAGUGUUGUUUUCUGAA
Molecule: long non-coding RNA, 1034 nt
Organism: Lotus japonicus
Lineage: Eukaryota; Viridiplantae; Streptophyta; Magnoliopsida; Fabales; Fabaceae
Exons: 3
Source: RefSeq, a predicted model, not a curated record